UACGUAGGGGGCAAGCGUUUUCCGGAUUUAUUGGGCGUAAAGAGCGUGUAGGCGGCCUUACAGGUCAGCUGUGAAAACUCGAGGCUCAACCUCGAGACGUCGGUUGAAACCGUAAGGCUAGAGUCCGGAAGAGGAGAGUGGAAUUCCCGGUGUAGCGGUGAAAUGCGCAGAUAUCGGGAAGAACACCCGUGGCGAAGGCGGCUCUCUGGGACGGUACUGACGCUGAGACGCGAAAGCGUGGGGAGCGAACAGG
RNAcentral lists this ribosomal RNA (253 nucleotides) under uncultured bacterium. RNAcentral's name for it is "partial 16S ribosomal RNA". It matches the Rfam family "Bacterial small subunit ribosomal RNA", at positions 524 to 776 of the family's 1533-position model. The record is from RNAcentral.